Physcomitrium patens is the source of this 928-nucleotide non-coding RNA. Lineage: Eukaryota; Viridiplantae; Streptophyta; Bryopsida; Funariales; Funariaceae. The record is from RefSeq and is a predicted model, not a curated record.
GCUGCUUGGUAGAGUCAUGGAAUCGGUUAAAGUUGCUCUUGGAAUAGCAUUCCAAACGGCAACUGGGUGCUUCGUAUGUUGUGGCCACUGCGCCCCUUACUAGUAUCGUUACUAAGUGGUGACAUACUAUUCCAACAAACAAAACCAAAACUAGGAAAGAGUAACUGAAGUAGCGACGCCCUGCCGCCACUCUUCGGCACACACUUCGACAGGAGGCGUAAUGUUCAUUAUGGAUGGUUACGAAAUACACAUCUUGUGAAAAACAUUGUAUCCGCCAAGCUGAUAGUACUUCAACCUGAUCCAUCUUCCUUAAUAGGUCGAAGAGGUAUCUACGCUUCAUUACGCAUUGCAAGGCAGUCAUCCACAACCAGCGUAAACAUGGUUGCACGGACCUCGUUGCGUGCUACGGAAUUGAUGACUUCACGACAACCACGCUUUGGCAGGAUCCGUUGAACUUCAGACAAUACAGUGACAAGAGCAGACAGGAGAAGAGUCAGCAAAGAUAUAAGCUCUUAACGAUGGCGAUGGUGGCAGGUGCUAGUCUCGUUUCCGGAAAUUUGUUGUAGUCAACGGGUUUCUCAAGAUGUCUUUCGCAAUGUUAUUUAAGAUCGUUGCAAAUGCCAUUCACGGCACAAAAUAUUUUUCACGAGUACGACGAUGUUGCCUGCAUUCAUCGUGGAAAGUAAAUGAAGGCUAAGAGAUGUUCAUAUUGUGACACAAAUUGUCUAGUGCCGGACAAAAAACAGACCAAAAAAUAGAAAAAAAAUGUGUACUAAUUCAUUGAAGGGUUUAUGAAGUUAACGAAAUAUUCAAAAUCUAAAAUUUGAGAGCAAAUGACAAUAUGAAGUGCAACAGAUCAAAUAAAAAUAAAAAUAGCAUACACAAAACAUUUGGUGGUACUUUUGAAGACAUGUACUGUUGGUAGAGG